This 83-nucleotide transfer RNA is filed under the name bacterium. RNAcentral describes it as "tRNA-Leu". It matches the Rfam family "tRNA". Rfam says of the family: Transfer RNA (tRNA) molecules are approximately 80 nucleotides in length. Their secondary structure includes four short double-helical elements and three loops (D, anti-codon, and T loops). The record is from RNAcentral.
GCCGGGGUGCUGGAAUGGUAGACAGAUCAGUCUCAAAAACUGGUGUCCGCAAGGGCGUGAGAGUUCGAGUCUCUCCCCCGGCA